Molecule: ribosomal RNA, 301 nt
Filed under: uncultured bacterium
Lineage: Bacteria
Description: partial 16S ribosomal RNA
Rfam family: Bacterial small subunit ribosomal RNA
Source: RNAcentral
CAGUCGCCGCGGGAAUACGUAGGUCCCGAGCGUUGUCCGGAUUUAUUGGGCGUAAAGCGAGCGCAGGCGGUUAGAUAAGUCUGAAGUUAAAGGCUGUGGCUUAACCAUAGUACGCUUUGGAAACUGUUUAACUUGAGUGCAAGAGGGGAGAGUGGAAUUCCAUGUGUAGCGGUGAAAUGCGUAGAUAUAUGGAGGAACACCGGUGGCGAAAGCGGCUCUCUGGCUUGUAACUGACGCUGAGGCUCGAAAGCGUGGGGAGCAAACAGGAUUAGAUACCCCAGUAGUCCCUGUCUCUUAUACA